AGAAUCAACGCUGGCGGCGUGCCUCAGACAUGCAAGUCGAACGCGAAAGCCCCCUUCGGGGGACAAGUAGAGUGGCGCACGGGUGAGUAACACGUAGGUAAUCUACCUUUGGAUGGGGAAUAACAACCGGAAACGGUUGCUAAUACCGCAUGAUGCAGCGGCACCUAAUGGUGACAGUUGUUAAAGCGGGGGAUCGAAAGACCUCGCGUCUGGAGAGGAGCCUGCGGCGGAUUAGGCUAGUUGGUAAGGUAAUGGCUUACCAAGGCUACGAUCC
Molecule: ribosomal RNA, 274 nt
Filed under: uncultured soil bacterium
Lineage: Bacteria
Description: partial 16S ribosomal RNA
Rfam family: Bacterial small subunit ribosomal RNA
Source: RNAcentral